Molecule: ribosomal RNA, 531 nt
Filed under: Xylariales sp.
Lineage: Eukaryota; Fungi; Ascomycota; Sordariomycetes; Xylariales
Description: eukaryotic LSU rRNA
Rfam family: Eukaryotic large subunit ribosomal RNA
Source: RNAcentral
CAUAUCAAUAAGCGGAGGAAAAGAAACCAACAGGGAUUGCCUUAGUAACGGCGAGUGAAGCGGCAACAGCUCAAAUUUGAAAUCUGGCCCUCGGGUCCGAAUUGUAAUUUGUAGAGGAUGAUUUUGGUGCGGUAUCUUCCGAGUUCCUUGGAACAGGACGCCUUAGAGGGUGAGAGCCCCGUACGGUUGAAUGCCUAGCCUCUGUAAAUCUCCUUCGACGAGUCGAGUAGUUUGGGAAUGCUGCUCUAAAUGGGAGGUAAAUUUCUUCUAAAGCUAAAUAUUGGCCAGAGACCGAUAGCGCACAAGUAGAGUGAUCGAAAGAUGAAAAGCACUUUGAAAAGAGGGUUAAAUAGCACGUGAAAUUGUUGAAAGGGAAGGAUUUGUGACCAGACUUUUUCUGGGCGGAUCAUCCGGGGUUCUCUCCGGUGCACUUUGCCCAGUAAAGGCCAGCAUCGAUUUUCGGCGGCGGAUAAAAGCAGUGGGAAUGUGGCUCCCUACGGGGAGUGUUAUAGCCCAUUGUAUAAUACGCUG